This 253-nucleotide ribosomal RNA is filed under the name uncultured bacterium. RNAcentral describes it as "partial 16S ribosomal RNA". It matches the Rfam family "Bacterial small subunit ribosomal RNA", at positions 524 to 776 of the family's 1533-position model. The record is from RNAcentral.
UACGUAGGGUGCAAGCGUUGUCCGGAAUCAUUGGGCGUAAAGCGCGCGUAGGUGGUCAUGUAAGUCCGCUGUGAAAGUCAAAGGCUCAACCUUUGAAAGCCGGUGGAUACUGCAUGACUAGAGUACGGAAGAGGCGAGUGGAAUUCCCGGUGUAGCGGUGAAAUGCGUAGAGAUCGGGAGGAACACCAGAGGCGAAGGCGGCGACCUGGACAGUUACUGACACUCAACUACGAAAGCGUGGGGAGCAAACGGG